This is a long non-coding RNA of Lontra canadensis (Northern American river otter), 338 nucleotides long. RefSeq lists it as uncharacterized. Lineage: Eukaryota; Metazoa; Chordata; Mammalia; Carnivora; Mustelidae. The record is from RefSeq and is a predicted model, not a curated record. The transcript is spliced from 3 exons.
CAUCACCCGUUAUACAGCUGGUUCAAUGAUUGAUUUUAGAUUGCAAUACCACAGAUCUGCACUAAGUCAACAAGCAAAUGGUAGAAGAAAGGUAUUUAUAAAGAACCUACUUCAUAUAGCAAAGUUCUAAUCCACAUGGACACAAAUUCAUGUUGCAUUGUGCUGGAUUUCCUUUAGCAAGUCAAUUAUUUUUGCUUUCAAGGAACGCUUUAUUUCAUUUGGGUCUCUCAGAACUUCUGUAGACAGCAAACAUCAAAAGGACCAAAGAUUUUUAUAGUGAUUCAGCUGCCCACAGCAAUGAAGUAAACCCUGAUUUUCUUUCAGCCUAGGAAAUGAUC